AUACGUAGGGGGCGAGCGUUGUCCGGAAUGAUUGGGAGUAAAGGGCGCGUAGGCGGCCCGGCAAGUCUGGAGUGAAAGUCCUGCUUUUAAGGAGGGAAUUGCUUUGGAUACUGUCGGGCUUGAGUGCAGGAGAGGUAAGUGGAAUUCCCAGGGUAGCGGUGAAAUGCGUAGAGAUUGGGAGGAACACCAGUGGCGAAGGCGACUUACUGGACUGUAACUGACGCUGAGGCGCGAAAGUGUGGGGAGCAAACAGGAUUAGAUACCCUGGUAGUCCACACUGUAAACGAUGAAUGCUAGGUGUAGGGGGUAUCGACCCCUUCUGUGCCGCAGUUAACACAAUAAGCAUUCCGCCUGGGGAGUACGGCCGCAAGGUUGAAACUCAAAUGAAUUGACGGGG
This 397-nucleotide ribosomal RNA is filed under the name uncultured bacterium. RNAcentral's name for it is "partial 16S ribosomal RNA". It matches the Rfam family "Bacterial small subunit ribosomal RNA", at positions 523 to 918 of the family's 1533-position model. The record is from RNAcentral.